UUUAAGGUCUGCAGUUUCAUACGCAAGUCAUGUUGCUAAUAAGAAGAAACAAAAUGAGAUUUCAUAUGUUAUUUAAAACAUUCUAAGUCUAAGGUAUACAAUUGGCAUUAUUAGUAUUGCAAAGAUCAUUCCACCAAAAGAGAGCAAAACCAGUAAACUUACUCGUAGCAAGCCUAACUCUAUGCUCAACAGGAACUAAAUGAGAAUUAAAUUUUUAUUCAACAGCAAGUUCCCAAUCUAAAUAAGCCUUAGGAUCAGCAUUACCAGCAAAAGGAAUCAUGGUAAAUUUAGUUUUAGCAAAAGGAUCAUUAUUAUCACGGUGA
RNAcentral lists this long non-coding RNA (323 nucleotides) under Setaria viridis. RNAcentral's name for it is "long non-coding RNA (SVIR_LNC001768)". The record is from RNAcentral. Lineage: Eukaryota; Viridiplantae; Streptophyta; Magnoliopsida; Poales; Poaceae.